AGCUUGGAAACCAGACACGAACUGGAGACAGACAACCGCGGGCUUGGAGCGUUUCCCCUAACGCUGAUGGGACACUGGACAAGGAUCCCUCCCCGCUUGGCGCCUGCAGGGGCGUCAGACAAGCGGAGCCCUGGCGUGGAGCCACUAGGUGGCGCCAGUGGCCCCCGGCUCACGGAUGCGGACCGCUCUGAUAACCUCUGCGCUUUUUGCAUAGAUCAAACCAUCCUGGCCAGGUUUGGAACCUGAGAAGCAGGGGUUGGGGAGGAAAGAGACGCCAGGUCACGUGGCUAGCAAUUAUCGGAGACCAGACUCAAAGUUCCCACUGCAAAAAAAGAAGCUUCGGUGCCCCACAAGCCCAAGAGGAAAAGGCAUUCACCCGGGUGACCAGGCUCUAGUGCGGAGCAAGGAGGAGACAUUGUCCCCUAUUGAUGCGAUCGGAGUCAGUCUGGGGCGAGUGUGAGACGGACCUCUUCACUUAAAUCUAGAAAGUAAGGGGAAAUCAGAGUGCAUGACCCACAGAGAACAGGAUUUGUUCCCCUGGGAAGCGGAAACCAGACUGUUCUUGGAGGCGAACGUGCCUUUCCACACUUGUGAGCCUGUGUGCACCCACACUCUGUGGGGAUGGAC
Peromyscus maniculatus bairdii (prairie deer mouse) is the source of this 627-nucleotide non-coding RNA. NCBI's taxonomy places the organism in Eukaryota, Metazoa, Chordata, Mammalia, Rodentia, Cricetidae. The record is from RefSeq and is a predicted model, not a curated record.